Molecule: small RNA, 27 nt
Filed under: Bombyx mori (domestic silkworm)
Lineage: Eukaryota; Metazoa; Arthropoda; Insecta; Lepidoptera; Bombycidae
Description: ovarian small RNA-17835
Source: RNAcentral
GUGACCCAACUAGUGCCUGAACCCUAC